RNAcentral lists this long non-coding RNA (1202 nucleotides) under Sus scrofa (pig). RNAcentral describes it as "lncRNA (ENSSSCG00005030806.1)". The record is from RNAcentral. Lineage: Eukaryota; Metazoa; Chordata; Mammalia; Artiodactyla; Suidae.
GAUUCUGGAAUAAAGGUGGAGGAGACAGGUUGAAGACAAGAUUGAAGAAGCAAUUGAACCAGUAAACGGGGGAGGGGAGCCGUAAGGAGUUAAAGAGGGUGACCUCGGGUGGGCCUUCCAGCCCUGGGAUGGAGGAUUCUGUAGAUUGAUGAGGAAGAUGUGAAUCCUGCUCCCACUCUAUAGACGGGCAAGCGUGCAAGGAACAGGCGAAGUGGGAAAAGGGGGAGUAGAGGCAGGAAGAUGAAUGAGGAUUCCCUGCCUCUCCCUGCCCAGCAUCCUUCCCACUCUCUGCCUCAGAGGACUGCAGCCAGCCCAGGCUAGGGCUGAUGACACGAACACGAGGAACCUGGCUGCUCCCUGAUUGCCCCCUCAAGACUCUUUGGUGUGUAGUUAUUGAGGGCUUGGGGAGGAGGUUUAAGGAAUAUCUGUCGGCAAGUGUGUAUGUUUAAGAGUGGGGGGCCCCUGAUGUGUGUGUGCGUGUGGGUUGCGGGGGCAUAGCCAAGUGGCUGGCAGCUCAUCCUAGCACGUGCAUAUAGGUGUUGAGGUGCACCUAUGCAAGGUGUGAGCCAGGUGUGUGAGGGAAUCUGGGAGCACAGUUAAGAAGAGGUGAAAGAGAUGAGCGAGGAGUAAUGGGAUCAGGUUAAGAGGUGUGGAAGGGGGCAGAGGGGAGUGUAGGGGACAAGGGGUGACAGGAUCAGAGGAGGGGGUUGCAUAAGAUGGAACAGGUGAGGGGCUCAUCAUGACAGGUGAUGAGGGGACAGGACCAUGAGAAGGAUUUCUGGGCACAGUUGAAGGGCUGAGGAAGUAGGUAAGGAGGCUGGUGGGAGGAAUGCAGGCACCGAGGACAAGAGAGGUUAUGGAGACAGCUGGGAACGGCUGUCAGGAAUGACAGGAGAGUGAAACCCUGGGGAUGGGGACAGAGGUGCUUAAUACAGAAAAAGACUAGAACUCCAGACAUUUCCCACUUUCAAAAAAUUGGCCUCCUUGGAGUUCCUGCCGUGGCGCAGUGGUUAACGAAUCCGACUAGGAACCAUGAGGUUGCGGGUUCGGUCCCUGCCCUUGCUCAGUGGGUUAAGGAUCUGGUGUUGCCGUGAGCUGUGGUGUAGGUUGCAGAUGCGGCUCGGAUCCUGUGUUGCUGUGGCUCUGGCGUAGGCCGGCGGCUGCAGCUCCGAUUCAACCCCUAGCCUGGGAACCUCCAUGUG